CACGUAGGGCGCAAGCGUUGUCCGGAAUUAUUGGGCGUAAAGAGCCCGUAGGCGGUCUGUUACGUCUGCUGUGAAAACCCGGGGCUUAACCCUGGGCUUGCAGUGGAUACGGGCAGACUAGAGGCAGGUAGGGGAGAAUGGAAUUCCCGGUGUAGCGGUGAAAUGCGCAGAUAUCGGGAGGAACACCGGUGGCGAAGGCGGGUCUCUGGGCCGAUACUGACGCUGAGGAGCGAAAGCAUGGGUAGCGAACAGG
This 253-nucleotide ribosomal RNA is filed under the name uncultured bacterium. RNAcentral's name for it is "partial 16S ribosomal RNA". It matches the Rfam family "Bacterial small subunit ribosomal RNA", at positions 524 to 776 of the family's 1533-position model. The record is from RNAcentral.